UACGGGGGGGGCAAGCGUUAUUCGGAAUUAUUGGGCGUAAAGGGCGCGUAGGCGGCCUGGCAAGUGGAUGGUGAAAUCCCUCGGCUUAACCGAGGAACUGCCAUCCAGACUGCUUGGCUUGAGACCGGGAGAGGUGAGUGGAAUUCCCAGUGUAGCGGUGAAAUGCGUAGAUAUUGGGAGGAACACCAGUGGCGAAGGCGGCUCACUGGACCGGUACUGACGCUGAUGCGCGAAAGCGUGGGGAGCAAACGGG
This 253-nucleotide ribosomal RNA is filed under the name uncultured bacterium. RNAcentral describes it as "partial 16S ribosomal RNA". It matches the Rfam family "Bacterial small subunit ribosomal RNA", at positions 524 to 776 of the family's 1533-position model. The record is from RNAcentral.